This is a long non-coding RNA of Drosophila miranda, 3494 nucleotides long. RefSeq lists it as uncharacterized. NCBI's taxonomy places the organism in Eukaryota, Metazoa, Arthropoda, Insecta, Diptera, Drosophilidae. The record is from RefSeq and is a predicted model, not a curated record. The transcript has 2 exons.
UUUGGAGCAGCCCUCGUAUGCACAAUACAAAAUUAUGAUCUUGCUUAAUUUGUAUACAUAUGUACGUUGAGUUGUUGACACGUGUAGAUGGGCCCUUAAUUUCCAGGAGGUACCCAUGUACGAAUUCGCCCUCAACCACACACAUGCGAACACACACUCGAAUUGGCACGUUGCAUAGGCACAUUUCAGUUGCGUUGCAGUUGUUGCUGCCGUGCCAUUUGGUGAAGGAGCUUUCUUCUCACAUUCCUUCAAUCACACAACCUGCGACAACAGUAAAUACAAGCAACGAAAAUAAGCAAGCAAACAAAGCAGAGAGGCUAAACAGGAAAGGAAAGAGUAAAGAAAAACUUUCAUUUUCAAUGUCAAGUGCAAGAAAAAGAGAGCAACAACAGCAACGAAACGACAAGCAACCGGAUGCCGGCUGAGGGCGACUUUUCGAAAGAGAGAGACAUAAACAGAGAGUAAGCGGUUUAGAUAUAUAAUUUUGUCGUAUUCCGCGUGCUUGCAAAAAGCUUUCGGUGCCGUAAAAAAGCUCUAUUGUAAUCUUGCUUAGCCGCGACGCAGUUGUUUUACUAUAAGUAUUUACAGUUUGUAUAUUUUGCAUCUUGUUCCAACUUGUAAUGUAUACGAUCAAUCAAAAUUGUUGCUUUCAGUCAGUGACAUCUUGAUAAAUACAAACAAAAAUACUACAGCAAGACACUCACACUCCCAUACACCACCAUGUGGCGGCGACGCUGGCAAAGUUGCAACAAGCCGAGCCGCGUGACCUUCGACACCAACAACAACAACAAGAGAGGAGGCACCUCCUGCAUAUAUAUACAUGUAUCGACACUCCCACACAGAUGUCCUCAAAUACAGACAAGAUGUAUUGAAAAAUUGCCAAGAAAAAUCUAUGCACAUACAUAUGGAUAUUUUCCUGAUGCUUAAGGUAUCGUGCAAAUGUAUAUGUACAUUUAUGUAUCUUCAUUGUUACUGGGCCCCAUUAACUCACCAUGCUCGUAAGGAGAAAACGUUCCAGCAUCUAUAUUGAUGUACGGAUCAAUUUUGAUGGAUGUCACAUCAAGUUGGCACGACUUAAGCAGAGUUCCAAACGAGGAAGCAAUGACGCCCUUGCCCACACCGCUUAUGACGCCGCCAGUGACCAGGAUGUAUUUCAUAUUUGCGCACGUUUACUUCUUAGAUUCACAGAUGUAGACAAAUAUUCAAUCUCUCCUGCACGUGGCGCGUUAGUUUUUUUUUUCCAAAGGUUUAUCGAAUUUUUACAUUUUACAUUACCAUUCUACAUGGUUCCUACACAUUUGCUACAUAACGGAAGGAAAAAGAGGGUGUGGACAUCAGGCAAAACGGCCCAGAAAAUGCAGCGCAUGCAAGGCGAAGUCUACCCCAACUGCCAACGUACCCAAUCCAAUGUACCUUGCCGAUUUUGUCUGCAAGGCAUGUUGUACUCACACGCGAGAUGAGGUUUCGAACGAAACUUGCAAUUUUUCUUGACUGUUUUUGCCUGUUGUCCAUAAUCUUUUUUUAAGUCAGUAUUAUAUACGGUCUGACCCUCAUAAAUAUACCGAAAUAUACAGUAUAUAGAUGUGCCAGUUCAUACCAUGAAAGCGUCACACGUCGAUUUCUCAAAAGGAGGUCCCAGGGACUUCAGCUCUGGCUUAAGGGUACGGUACUAGCCAGCCAGCGCAGCGGCGCUUGUUAGUAUAUGAGUAUGAGAAUUUCGCAUGGUUUUAGGUUUCUUGUUAUAACUAGCUAUAGCUACAGGUAAUCGAAGGGUAGUCGAGUGGGGAACUAGUUGCUGGCUUUCUACUGGUAACUAGUUCGGAACUACCUCCUGAGCAACUUUACGGGUAAUCGAAGGGGAAUCGAGCGGGAACCAGGGGUGGUUCCGCCCUAGGAAAUGCAUGUGUUAAAUUCUCCGCUGAAAUACAUUGCGGGUAAUCGAUCUGGAACCAGGGAGGUGAGAAUGGUAGCUAGUGCGGCACCAGUGCGGAACUAGUUGCCUGGUACUAGAGGGUAUGUGUGCCUCCAGCAUAUAUAUUUUAAUGUAUAGGUGCACACCACCCUGGUUCGCGCUCGAUUACCCGAUUACUCGAUUGCUCAGGAGGUAGUUCCGAACUAGUUACCAGUAGAAAGCCAGCAACUAGUUCCCCACUCGAUUACCCGUAGCUAGCCCUGACCUAGCUACCAGUGAAUAACACAAAAAUAAAAAUACAAUGUCUUCCAAUAUAAACGUAUAAUAUUAAAUUGUAUGUAGCUUAGCCUAGUCCAUUUCCAUAUAUUUCUUUUUGAAAAACUUCUUCUUCAUCCUCUGCAUUGCUUUCCGUAAAAUGCCUUCGGAGUUCUCCUCUCCAGGCGGAAUACAUUCUGUAAUUAUUUUUGUAUUAUAUAAUUUGAACAAUUUUAAACUCUAGAAGUGUAAAUGGUAUUUUACCUAGCAAAGCUGCAAAAAAUUCCUUGUGGGACCUAAGUGCCUUCUUCCCUUGGACCCCAUCGACAUUAUAUGCCAGAACGAUUUCCUCGCUCAUAAUAAAGCUUAAACUGCUUAAAACGCCAGUUGGCUGCAGAACUGAUUUCAUUUCUGUUAUCUGUAAAUAAACCAUAAAAUAUAAAGAUAAGACAGAGAAAAAGGUCAUAUAAUUUAGAGUACAGAUUUACUUACAUAAAUGCUCCUAUUUAAUUUUAUUUUUUCCUCCAAUUCUAUUAACUGCUCUUCAGAUUUGAUUGGGAAAUGUUCCCGAAUGGGAUUCAUUUCCCCUUUCUCCUUGACCUGCUGUUUGAUCAAAUCAGUUUGAUCCGCCAAAAUUUGGAGCACCUUUUGUAAUUGAUCUACAUAAAAACAAUGUUGUUAAUUAAUUUGAUUAUACAAAUAUUUUUCCAUUAAUCUUUAUAAGUCUUACCACGAAAAUCCUCAUAACUAAACAAACAGACCUCCUCACUAAGACUUCCCCCUGGUACCAACAAGUUAUCAACCUAUCUUCCACUCAUCCUCCCCCCAAAAACCUAAACAACCUUAACAGAAGACACCAAGUCAUCCUAAAUAGAUUGAGACUAGGGCACACAAGAUUCACCAAUGCCCACUACAUGGAUAAAACAUCCUCCAACGCAUGCCCACUGUGCCACAACCCAACCAUAGACAUAAGACACAUAAUAUACACAUGCCCCGCCCUCUCUCUUCAAAGAUCCUCAAUAUUCCAUAACACCGACCCCAUGCAAUACAUCUCCAACCCUAACACCAAAAACGCAAAAAUAAUCCUCAACUAUCUAGACCAAUCUAAAAUCAUUCACUACAUAUAACCUCAUAAACAAUCAUCCCUGUACAUAUACAUAUACACAAUUAGUAUUUUAGAUAAUAAUUCCUCCACAACAUAUAAUAACGUAUAGAACCAACCCUGUACAUAUGUAUAUAAGUACAUACAUCCUCAAACGUAUAAUAAUACUAUAGUGAGCUUAAGGCCUCAGCAGCUAUAGCCCCAUACCCUGUUAAUACCUAGUUU